AGAGUUUGAUCCUGGCUCAGGAUGAACGCUAGCGGCAGGCCUAAUACAUGCAAGUCGAACGGUACCUUCGGGUACAGUGGCAAACGGGUGCGUAACGCGUAAGCAACCUGCCCUCUACCGGGGGAUAGCCUGGCGAAAGCCGGGGUAAACCCGCAUGGUCCCAAGCAACCACCUGGUUUCUUGGGUAAACAUUUAUGGGUAGGGGAGGGGCUUGCGUCUGAUUAGUUAGUUGGCGGGGUAACGGCCCACCAAGACUUUGAUCAGUAGGGGUUCUGAGAGGAUUGGCCCCCACAUGGGUACUGAGAUACGGACCCAACUCCUACGGGAGGCAGCAGUAGGGAAUAUUGGGCAAUGGAGGCAACUCUGACCCAGCCGUGCCGCGUGCAGGAUGAAGGCGCUCAGCGUCGUAAACUGCUUUUAUCUACGAAGAACGGCAGAGAUGAGUCUUUGUGUGACGGUAGUAGAGGAAUAAGCACCGGCUAACUCCGUGCCAGCAGCCGCGGUAAUACGGAGGGUGCAAGCGUUGUCCGGAUUUAUUGGGUUUAAAGGGUGCGUAGGUGGCGUCUUAAGUCUGGUUUGAAAGCAGGCGGCUCAACCGUCUGAUGUGGCUGGAAACUGGGGUGCUUGAAUGCGUUGGCGGUAGCCGGAACGGGUCAUGUAGCGGUGAAAUGCAUAGAUAUGACCCAGAACACCGAUUGCGAAGGCAGGCUACUAGGACGUGAUUGACACUGAGGCACGAGAGCAUGGGUAGCGAACAGGAUUAGAUACCCCCGUAGUCC
Molecule: ribosomal RNA, 779 nt
Filed under: uncultured Spirosoma sp.
Lineage: Bacteria; Pseudomonadati; Bacteroidota; Cytophagia; Cytophagales; Cytophagaceae
Description: bacterial SSU rRNA
Rfam family: Bacterial small subunit ribosomal RNA
Source: RNAcentral